CCCCCCCCCACCCCCCUCCAAUCAGGUCAACCUGACGAGGAGUAGGGGGAGAUGUAGGAAGGCCUGAGAGUUCGAGGGGGGGGGAAGCUGGUUUCCCUGAACAUUUCCCCCCAUCUUUUCACUUUGGGGUGGUGGAAUUUUUUUCAGUUGCAUUUUUGAGGAGGUGGUAGGUGUUUAGAAAAGGAUGUGGGAAUGGAAGGGGUAGAUGAGUCAAGCCUCUUACAAGAUUCCAAGGGUGGUGUGUUACCUGAUCCUUUUCGCGUGUGGAGUUCAGGGGGUCGGGAGGUUUGGCCUUCAUUCCCACAUUCAAAGUUGGAGCCUCCCCCGAAUUAAGGAUGGAGUUUUAGUAUCCACUUGUGGCAGGAAACCUGGGGGGAAGGGGUCCCUUUUUUCUUUUUCUUUUCUUUUUUUUUUUUUUUUGGGAGGGGGCAACCCACACCCUUCCACACACGCUCACCCCCAACUUAAACACCAAGAUCCUCUAACUUGUCUGGAUUGACUGAUGAAGACAUAAAGCCAGUUCCGCUCCAUGUUUUUUGGAGGUGGAGUGAGUGGUUUUUUCCUUCAUUUUUAAAUGGCCAAAUGACAGCUUGACCCAGUUUGCUUUCCAAUCAAAGGGCAUUUUUUUUUUUUUUUUUGAAUGUCUCUUUGUGGCGCAAGAGCCAACGCAAAAAUGAUGGCGGCUUACAAUGGCGGUACAUCUGCGGCAGCAGCAGGGCACCACCACCACCAUCACCACCACCUUCCACACCUCCCUCCUCCUCACCUUCACCACCACCACCACCCUCAGCACCAUCUUCAUCCCGGGUCGGCUGCUGCGGUCCACCCCGUGCAGCAGCAUACCUCCUCGGCAGCUGCGGCAGCCGCCGCCGCGGCCGCAGCUGCAGCCAUGUUAAACCCUGGGCAACAGCAGCCUUACUUCCCAUCACCGGCACCGGGUCAGGCUCCGGGACCAGCUGCAGCAGCCCCAGCUCAGGUACAGGCUGCCGCAGCUGCCACAGUUAAGGCGCACCAUCAUCAACACUCGCAUCAUCCACAACAGCAGCUGGAUAUUGAGCCGGAUAGACCUAUUGGAUAUGGAGCCUUUGGUGUCGUCUGGUCAGUAACAGAUCCAAGAGAUGGAAAGAGAGUAGCACUCAAAAAGAUGCCCAACGUCUUCCAGAAUCUGGUCUCUUGCAAAAGGGUCUUCCGGGAAUUGAAGAUGUUGUGUUUUUUUAAACAUGAUAAUGUACUCUCUGCCCUUGACAUACUCCAACCUCCACACAUUGACUAUUUUGAAGAAAUAUAUGUUGUCACAGAACUGAUGCAGAGUGACCUGCAUAAAAUUAUCGUCUCUCCUCAACCACUCAGCUCAGAUCAUGUCAAAGUUUUUCUUUAUCAGAUUUUGCGAGGUUUGAAAUAUCUCCAUUCAGCUGGCAUUUUACAUCGAGACAUUAAGCCAGGGAAUCUCCUUGUGAACAGCAACUGUGUUCUAAAGAUUUGUGAUUUUGGAUUGGCCAGAGUGGAAGAAUUAGAUGAAUCCCGUCACAUGACUCAGGAAGUUGUUACUCAGUAUUAUCGGGCUCCAGAAAUCCUGAUGGGCAGCCGUCAUUACAGCAAUGCUAUUGACAUCUGGUCUGUCGGAUGUAUCUUUGCAGAACUACUAGGACGAAGAAUACUGUUUCAGGCACAGAGUCCCAUUCAGCAGUUGGAUUUGAUCACAGAUCUCUUGGGCACACCAUCACUGGAAGCAAUGAGGACGGCUUGUGAAGGCGCUAAGGCACACAUACUCAGGGGUCCUCAUAAACAGCCAUCUCUUCCUGUGCUUUAUACCCUGUCUAGCCAGGCUACACAUGAAGCUGUUCAUCUCCUUUGUAGGAUGUUGGUCUUUGAUCCAUCCAAAAGAAUAUCCGCUAAGGAUGCCUUAGCCCACCCCUACCUAGAUGAAGGGCGACUACGAUAUCACACGUGUAUGUGUAAAUGUUGCUUUUCCACAUCUACUGGAAGAGUUUAUACCAGUGACUUUGAGCCCGUCACCAACCCCAAAUUCGAUGACACUUUUGAGAAGAACCUCAGUUCUGUUCGACAGGUUAAAGAAAUCAUUCACCAGUUCAUUUUGGAACAGCAGAAAGGAAACAGAGUGCCUCUCUGCAUCAACCCUCAGUCUGCUGCUUUUAAGAGCUUUAUUAGUUCCACUGUUGCUCAGCCGUCUGAGAUGCCCCCAUCUCCUCUGGUGUGGGAGUGACGGUGGAAGAUAAUGUACUACUGAAGAUGUUAUGUAGCUCUCCACUGGAGUCUGGGAUUUGCAAUUCUGGAGUUCAAUGUGGAGACUUGAAACUUGAAUGUCCCUUCCAACUUUUAUAUUAAAAAUAAAAAGACAAGAAAAUUGAAGAUCGUUUUUCACCUGUACAAGGAAUACUAAUGGAUCGUCUUAAAAUUGGUCUAGGAAAAAACCUUGGUGUGUGUUAUGGACAAUUAACUGUUAAAGUUAUUGUAAGUUAUCUGUAUUUAGCAGAAUAUUUUCAUCUUGAGUGAUCUGAGCUGAAUUUGAAGACUAUUAAUAAGUUAUGUUUGGAAGUUUUAACUUCAAUGAAGUAAUUAUUUGCUGUGAAAGAAACAAACAUUGAAUUACUAAACAAAGAUGGUGCAAUAUCUUUGUUUUCUUUUUACGAGGCUCCUGAGAAUCAACCCAACUGAAGCAUUUCAAUUCACUUGAAUGAGAAACGUGUUUAGUAUCAAAAGAGCCCAAGAAGACACUGGUGUGAAAGGUACAAUCUCAGAGGUUGGUCAGUUACCGUGGCACACUUACUGGUCACUUUGUACAAUGUAGAUUUGAAGUACAGUGGUGAAAACAUUAAAUGUGA
Molecule: RNA transcript, 2843 nt
Organism: Dama dama (fallow deer)
Lineage: Eukaryota; Metazoa; Chordata; Mammalia; Artiodactyla; Cervidae
Gene: NLK
Gene name: nemo like kinase
Exons: 12
Source: RefSeq, a predicted model, not a curated record